Molecule: ribosomal RNA, 1426 nt
Filed under: metagenome
Description: bacterial SSU rRNA
Rfam family: Bacterial small subunit ribosomal RNA
Source: RNAcentral
AGAGUUUGAUCCUGGCUCAGAAUGAACGCUGGCGGCGUGCUUAACACAUGCAAGUCGAACGAUGAAGCCUAGCUUGCUAGGUGGAUUAGUGGCGCACGGGUGAGUAAUAUAUAGUUAACGUGCCUCUUAGUCUGGGAUAGCCAUUGGAAACGAUGAUUAAUACUAGAUACUCCUUCUGAUUCUAAUUUCAGUCGGGAAAGUUUUUCGCUAAGAGAUCGGACUAUAUCGCAUCAGUUAGUUGGUAGGGUAAUGGCCUACCAAGACAAUGACGCGUAGCGGGUUUGAGAGGAUGAUCCGCCACACUGGUACUGAGACACGGACCAGACUCCUACGGGAGGCAGCAGUGAGGAAUAUUGCACAAUGGGGGAAACCCUGAUGCAGCAACGCCGCGUGGAGGAUGACGCAUUUCGGUGUGUAAACUCCUUUUAUGAGUCAAGAAAAUGACGGUAGCUCAUGAAUAAGCACCGGCUAACUCCGUGCCAGCAGCCGCGGUAAUACGGAGGGUGCAAGCGUUAUUCGGAAUCACUGGGCGUAAAGGACGCGUAGGCGGGAUGCCAAGUCUGAUGUGAAAUCCUAUGGCUUAACCAUAGAACUGCAUUGGAAACUGGUAAAAUCCGUAGAUAUCACUAGGAAUACCGAAAGCGAAGGCGAUCUCCUGGAACAAUACUGACGCUAAGGCGUGAAAGCGUGGGGAGCAAACGGGAUUAGAUACCCCGGUAGUCCACGCCCUAAACGAUGUUCACUAGUCGUCGGAAUGCUAGUCAUUUCGGUGAUGCACUUAACAGAUUAAGUGAACCGCCUGGGGAGUACGGUCGCAAGAUUAAAACUCAAAGGAAUAGACGGGGACCCGCACAAGUGGUGGAGCAUGUGGUUUAAUUCGACAUACGCGAAGAACCUUACCUAGCCUUGACAUUGAUUGAACACUUUAGAGAUAGAGUGGUGCCCUUCGGGGAACAUGAAAACAGGUGCUGCACGGCUGUCGUCAGCUCGUGUCGUGAGAUGUUGGGUUAAGUCCCGCAACGAGCGCAACCCUCGUCCUUAGUUGCCAGCAGGUUAAGCUGGGCACUCUAAGGAGACUGCCUUCGCAAGGAGGAGGAAGGUGAGGACGACGUCAAGUCAUCAUGGCCCUUAUGGCUAGGGCUACACACGUGCUACAAUGGGGCGUACAGAGAGUUGCGAUACCGCGAGGUGGAGCCAAUCUCAUAAAGCGUCUCUCAGUUCGGAUUGGAGUCUGCAACUCGACUCCAUGAAGCUGGAAUCACUAGUAAUCGUAGAUCAGCAAUGCUACGGUGAAUACGUUCCCGGGUCUUGUACUCACCGCCCGUCACACCAUGGGAGUUGAUUUCACCCGAAAUUGGGAAGCUAACCUUCGGGGGGCUACCACUUACGGUGGAAUUAGCGACUGGGGUGAAGUCGUAACAAGGUA